Molecule: microRNA precursor, 63 nt
Filed under: Monopterus albus (swamp eel)
Lineage: Eukaryota; Metazoa; Chordata; Actinopteri; Synbranchiformes; Synbranchidae
Description: Mal-Mir-22-P1b2_pre stem-loop
Rfam family: mir-22 microRNA precursor family
Source: RNAcentral
AGUUCUUCACUGGCAAGCUUUAUGUUCCUGUACACAUGCUAAAGCUGCCAGCUGAAGAACUGC